UGCAUGAUUAAAGAGAAAUGAAUUUUCAAAACUAAAGUACUAAAACUGCCCUAUUUUCCAAAAUGAAUUUCUUUGAACUGAUGGAAUUAAUUAUGAGCAUGAUUUAAACUCUUGAUGCAUAACCUUAAUAGCAUGACUAAACUUAGAAUAAAUGAUUUAGAAUAUUUAGCCUAUAGAAUAACUCUUGAAGAAAUUAGUGACCGGGG
RNAcentral lists this long non-coding RNA (206 nucleotides) under Erythranthe guttata (spotted monkey flower). RNAcentral's name for it is "long non-coding RNA (EGUT_LNC002870)". The record is from RNAcentral. Lineage: Eukaryota; Viridiplantae; Streptophyta; Magnoliopsida; Lamiales; Phrymaceae.